RNAcentral lists this long non-coding RNA (596 nucleotides) under Homo sapiens (human). RNAcentral's name for it is "HSALNT0350439". The record is from RNAcentral. Lineage: Eukaryota; Metazoa; Chordata; Mammalia; Primates; Hominidae.
AUGAAACAAAGGCAAAGCUUUAGUGGUGAGCAUGAGAUGGCAAGUCUUUUCUUCAUAAUCAUCAUAACAGAAAGCAACUGUACCCAUUAUCUACCCAGUAGGACCUUGACCUCUUUAAGAACCAGGGAUGAGUUGACAGGAAAGGAAAGUGGAGUGUAAACCAGUGCUUCAAAACCAGCAGCUGCCACAAACUGUAGUGACCUUUCAGUGUCCCGCCGACUUCCACUCUCUUGCUUCCAGCAGGAGUUAGAAUCUAACAUUUCUUUACAAUGACCUCUCUAACUUCUUGGACUCAAGGUGUAAGUUUGUUCCCAACAUACCAGACAGAGAGCAACUCUCACCAGAGAAGAUCCCAAUGUGUUUUAUGCUAGAUCUGACUUUAAUUAAGUGUAGACAAUGCUCCCAUCAGUGCUGGAACUGGCCCCGGUAACUUGCUUUAGCUGAUGGAAUGUUACCAAACACAACAUGAUCAAAGGCUUGAGAGAUGAUUUCCCUCCUGUGCUUCCGCAAUUACCAUGAAAAGAACAUGGCCUGGUGGUCCCUGAUCCCCAAAGAAUGACGGACACCUGGAAAAAGCUUGGAGUAACAGAUUCAUG